This 468-nucleotide ribosomal RNA is filed under the name uncultured bacterium. RNAcentral's name for it is "partial 16S ribosomal RNA". It matches the Rfam family "Bacterial small subunit ribosomal RNA", at positions 28 to 507 of the family's 1533-position model. The record is from RNAcentral.
GACGAACGCUGGCGGCGUGCUUAACACAUGCAAGUCGAACGGAAAGGCCCUGCUUUCGUGGGGUGCUCGAGUGGCGAACGGGUGAGUAACACGUGAGUAACCUGCCCUAGACUUUGGGAUAACUUCAGGAAACUGGGGCUAAUACCGGAUAGGAGCUCCUGCUGCAUGGUGGGGGUUGGAAAGUUUCUGCGGUUGGGGAUGGACUGGCGGCUAAUCAGCUUGUUGGUUGGGUAGUGGCUUACCAAGGCAUUGACGGGUCGCCGGCCUGAGAGGGUGACCGGCCACAUUGGGACUGAGAGACGGCCCAGAGUCCUACGGGGGGCAGCAGUGGGGAGUAUGGUACAGUGGGCGCAAGCCUGAUGCAGCAACGCCGCGUGCGGGAUGACGGCCUGCUGGUUGUAAACCGCUGUCGCUUGUGACGAAGCGGGAGUGACGGUAAUGGGUAAAGAAGCACCGGCUAACUACGUG